UCCUAGUUUCCUAGGCAGUCCCACCAGAGUGCUUCCCGAAGGAGUGGCAACUGAUGGCAAGGGUUGCGCUCGUUAAAGGACUUAACCCAACAUCUCACGACACGAGCUGACGACAGCCAUGCAGCACCUGUGCAAUUGUUCAAGCUUACGCCUGAAAGACUCUAUCUCUAGAGCUGUCAAAAGCAUGUCAAACCCGGGUAAGGUUCCUCGCGUAGUAUCGAAUUAAACCACAUGUUCCACCGCUUGUGCGGACCCCCGUCAAUUCCUUUGAGUUUUAAUCUUGCGACCGUAGUCCCCAGGCGGGCCACUUAACGCGUUAGCUACGACACUGCUCCCGCAAAGCGAGACCAACGUCUAGUGACCAUCGUUUACAGCAUGGACUAC
This 384-nucleotide unclassified non-coding RNA is filed under the name uncultured bacterium. RNAcentral's name for it is "contains 16S-23S intergenic spacer region". The record is from RNAcentral.